ACACAAGCGAUGAAGAGAAGAGUAGGCAGGCGGCAGCGUUCACAGAGAGCUCCAGAGUGGUGAAAGGGGGCAGCGAAGCGUCUGAUCUGAAAAAAGUCUCUGAGCUGCAUACGGAAUUGGGCACAGCACCAAGGAUGCUAUGCCGGGAUCUCCCGUUACAGAGAUAGGGUAUAAGCGUAAAGGCCGUACCCGAAGAGGCGGAAGAUUAGCAAUAGGUCCGCGAAUAGAGGUGGUACCACGAAGCUUAUUCAAGCUCUCGUCCUCAAG
RNAcentral lists this non-coding RNA (267 nucleotides) under Paenibacillus sp. RNAcentral describes it as "T-box sequence". It matches the Rfam family "T-box leader". From Rfam's summary of the family: Uncharged tRNA acts as the effector for transcription antitermination of genes in the T-box leader family. The record is from RNAcentral. Lineage: Bacteria; Bacillati; Bacillota; Bacilli; Caryophanales; Paenibacillaceae.